Long non-coding RNA from Amphiprion ocellaris (clown anemonefish), 2540 nucleotides. Lineage: Eukaryota; Metazoa; Chordata; Actinopteri; Pomacentridae. The record is from Ensembl.
GAGUUUGCAGUCAACCAAGGCCGACUCAGAAUCACUCCCACCGGGAAGAUCUGUGAAGGAAGGUCCACCCGGCUGGUCCAGAAGCUCCGGUCCAGCAGAGCAGCGUCAGGAUGGAGACGUAACCGGUGUUGAUGUUACCGCCUUGACGAAUAGAAGAAAAGCCUGUAUUUGGGUAUGAAGGGCCGGUAGUCCAGAGGAACCACCCUUGAACUCCAGUCCAGUGACACUCCACUCCACACCACAGACCACAACCUUUCCACUCCACAAUCACCCUCCACAAGGUUCCCAGCGGGGAUUCGAACCAUGCCCGUCCACAUGACAGACAUACACCCUCUGUGUGAGCUAUCUUUCACACAAGGUCCCUGGUGGAGUUUGUUGUAAUGAUGGUUGCAAGAGGUGUCAUGCAGCCAAAGUUUAAAAAGAGCCUUGAGCUGGAUUCAAACCAAGGACCUCCUGGAUGAGAGGCAGAUAACUUACCACUGCACUAUCCUUCCUACUGGGUAUAGCUGUUAGUUUUCGUAAAUGAUGGUACACAAAAGUAUUAAGGAAGUGAAGAUAAUAAAGGUACUAAGGUGGAUUUGAGAGGCAAAAAACUUACCCCUACACCAGGUGUCCUACAAGAUGUUGCUCUAACUUUGCUUAAAUGAUGCUAUCAAUUAGUACUGGCGCAACCAAACAACAAAUAAAAGGUGUGAGUGGAGAUCUGAAUCAUGCGAGGUUGUUUCUGACACUGAAUACACCCAAUCUCAUCUGAUCUGCAAAGCUAAGCAGGGUUGGGCCAGGUUAGUAUUUGGAUGGGAGACUACCUGGGAAUACCAGGUGCUGUAAGCUUUUUACUUCUCCUCACAACCUCAGCAAGACACUGCUGGUCAUUCACUAGAGACAGCUAUCAACUAAAACCUCUUGGUUUCUUUAUUAUACACUCUAUGAGGUGGAUAAGCUGCAGCUCAUGCUGAUUUAUUGCUGGUUCUGGUUGGAGCCAAAGAACAAACGCGUCACCUGUUGGAGCAGCUGAUGUCCUGCAGCCUCUUCACCACAGAAAGCCUCUGACAGCUUCAAUUCUUUACACUCCGACUGCACGACACCAAUCACAUAGGAACAUUUACAUGUAUGGAACAAAGAGCUGAGCUGACACUCAACAUGUGUUUGAGCAUUUAUUGAUAAAGACAUUCAAACAUGUCUAGAGAUAGAACACCAAUGCACGGUAUAAGAAAGGUCAGAACAGACUUCACCUGCUCAGGAAACUGAGGUCCUUCGGGGUGCAGGGAGCAAUUCUGAGGACCUUUUAUGGUUGUGUGGUGGUAUCAGCCAUCCUGUAUGGACUGGUCUGCUGGAGCAGCAGCAUCACGGCUGCAGACAGGAAGAGACUAAAGAAACUGGUUAAGAAAGCAAGCUCUGUCCUGGGCUGGUGGUAGACAGGAGGAUGAUGACAAAGCUGUUGUCUAUCAUGGAGGACAUCUCCCACCCCCUGCAGGAAACAGGACCAUCACCGGCAGCUCCUUCAGGGACAGACUGCUUCACCCACGAUGUUUGAAGGAGGUCCUUCCUUCCUGCAGCAGUCAGACUGUGUUCAAUCAAGCCUGCUCCCAGUAGUUCAGAUCACCCAUGAAGUAACUGCAAUAAAAUGUAAAUAAGUCAAUAUGUGCAAUUUCACAGGUUUUUUUUUUUUAACAAGCAUUUCUAUUUCUUCUCUAAGGAGAAAGCAUCUAUUUAUAUCUGUGCACUGAGUGCUGCUUUUUUUUUUUUUUUUUUUACUUUUUUUCCUAUCUGCUACUGCCACACUGAAAAUUUCCCCACUGCAGGAUCACUGAAGGAUCUACCUAUCCAUCCAUCUAUCUAUGGUCCAUAUACCUACCUACCUACCUAUCCAUCCAUCCAUCCAUCCAUCUGCCUAUCUAUAUCCAUCUGUCCAUCCAUCCAUCCAUCUCUCUCACAGGUGUGGAGGUUGACUCGCCUGUUCUCAAUCACCUUAAUCCACGGACAACUUCAGCAUGUAAAACAUAAAUAAGCAAAGGCUGCAACUCGUGAUUAUUUUAAUUUUAACUUAACUUUAUGUGCUGUUCAAAAAACUUGUAAAACUUGCUCAAAAAAUCUGUAUCGACCCAGAAAAAAAACAAACAUGUCAGGCACCCUAUGAUGUUAACUGUUCGCCUGAAUGUUUUUGUUUAAAAUCCUCAGUAAUAACCUUUGGGAAAUCAACGAGAGGCGCAAAGUAUUAUAUCCCAUCAUGAAAGAACACAGACAGAAAGGUAAACGGACUGCACUGGUUGUGGACAAACUAUACAUAGAUGGGCAGAUAUUUCGGGAACCCUCCAUUACCCCCUGGCUCUUCUUUUAAAAAAAAAAAAAAAAAAAAAAAAAUGGCUUAAACGUUUAAUAUAUCACUUAGUCAUUUAUGUUAGAAAAUGUUAUAAAAAAAAUAAAUGUCACAGGUGUAAAUGUCUCACUCUCCUAACCUACACUCCCCACUGGAGAACCCCCUCCUCCUUCUACUUUUCUCCCUCUCCCUCUCUAUAUGUCUCCCUUUAGCCUUCUCCCCC